AUUGAACGCUGGCGGCAUGCCUUACACAUGCAAGUCGAACGGUAACAGGUUAAGCUGACGAGUGGCGAACGGGUGAGUAAUAUAUCGGAACGUGCCCAGUCGUGGGGGAUAACGUAGCGAAAGCUACGCUAAUACCGCAUACGAUCUACGGAUGAAAGCGGGGGAUCGCAAGACCUCGCGCGAUUGGAGCGGCCGAUAUCAGAUUAGGUUGUUGGUGAGGUAAAAGCUCACCAAGCCUGCGAUCUGUAGCUGGUCUGAGAGGACGACCGGCCACACUGGAACUGAGACACGGUCCAGACUCCUACGGGAGGCAGCAGUGGGGAAUUUUGGACAAUGGACGCAAGUCUGAUCCAGCAAUGCCGCGUGCAGGACGAAGGCCUUCGGGUUGUAAACUGCUUUUGUACGGAACGAAACGGUGAGCUCUAAUACAGUUUGCUAAUGACGGUACCGUAAGAAUAAGCACCGGCUAACUACGUGCCAGCAGCCGCGGUAA
Molecule: ribosomal RNA, 493 nt
Filed under: uncultured bacterium
Lineage: Bacteria
Description: partial 16S ribosomal RNA
Rfam family: Bacterial small subunit ribosomal RNA
Source: RNAcentral